Molecule: ribosomal RNA, 497 nt
Filed under: uncultured bacterium
Lineage: Bacteria
Description: partial 16S ribosomal RNA
Rfam family: Bacterial small subunit ribosomal RNA
Source: RNAcentral
GAUGAACGCUGGCGGCGUGCCUAAUACAUGCAAGUCGAGCGAACAGACGAGGCGCUUGCUCCUCUGACGUUAGCGGCGGACGGGUGAGUAACACGUGGAUAACCUACCUAUAAGACUGGGAUAACUUCGGGAAACCGGAGCUAAUACCGGAUAAUAUAUUGAACCGCAUGGUUCAAUAGUGAAAGACGGUUUUGCUGUCACUUAUAGAUGGAUCCGCGCCGCAUUAGCUAGUUGGUAAGGUAACGGCCUACCAAGGCAACGAUGCGUAGCCGACCUGAGAGGGUGAUAGGCCACACUGGAACUGAGACACGGUCAAGACUCCUAAGAGAGGCAGCAGUAGGGAAUCUUACGCAAUGGGCGAAAGCCUGACGGAGCAACGCCGCGUGAGUGAUGAAGGUCUUCGGAUCGUAAAACUCUGUUAUUAGGGAAGAACAAAUGUGUAAGUAACUAUGCACGUCUUGACGGUACCUAAUCAGAAAGCCACGGCUAACUACGUG